Propithecus coquereli (Coquerel's sifaka) is the source of this 645-nucleotide RNA transcript. It is a transcript of the gene named mediator of RNA polymerase II transcription subunit 18 pseudogene, with no coding region annotated. The record is from RefSeq and is a predicted model, not a curated record. The transcript has a single exon. NCBI's taxonomy places the organism in Eukaryota, Metazoa, Chordata, Mammalia, Primates, Indriidae.
AUGACCCAGAAUGAAAGAUGGGACUCAGUAGUGCUUUUUCCCUCUUCAGGAAGUGUUUUAGAUCACAGUUUGGAAAGCCUCAUCCACCGCCUUCGUGGUUUGUGUGACAACAUGGAACCUGAGACUUUCCUUGACCAUGAAAUGGUGUUUCUCCUUAAGGGUCAGCAAGCCAGCCCAUUUGUUCUGAGGGCUCGGCGCUCUAUGGACAGGGCAGGGGCACCCUGGCAUCUACGCUACCUAGGACAGCCAGAAAUGGGAGAUAAGAACCGCCAUGCCCUAGUGAGAAACUGCGUGGACAUUGCCACAUCUGAGAACCUCACCGACUUCUUGAUGGAAAUGGGCUUCCGCAUGGACCAUGAGUUUGUCGCCAAGGGACACUUGUUCCGUAAGGGCAUCAUGAAGAUUAUGGUGUACAAGAUUUUCCGCAUCCUAGUGCCAGGGAACACAGAUAGUACUGAGGCUUUGUCGCUCUCCUAUCUUGUGGAAUUAAGUGUUGUUGCACCGGCUGGGCAGGACAUGGUCUCUGAUGACAUGAGGAACUUUGCUGAGCAGCUGAAACCUCUGGUUCACUUAGAGAAAAUAGACCCCAAAAGGCUCAUGUGACUAAGAAGGUCUGCACAUCUUUGGGGCCUGUCCUUACCUAUU